CUGUCCUUCGGCCUGUCAGGCGGUCAGUCAGUCGGUCGUCGGCCAGUCAGGCGGUCGCCCUGUCAGCGGUCAGCGGCCCGCGGCCCCACGAGGGCUCACUGCAGCAUUUACCCACGAGCUGGAGAACGUCGCCGCCAACGACGAAUAAAUACGUACCGAUUAGUAUUUUAAAUACCUACUGUGUUCAGGCUGCCACAAGGGGCCGAAAGGAAGCAGCGCUUUUCUAAAGUGUUCAUAAAGACUUACUCCUGCCAAAAACCUGGUGAAAAGUUGGAGGAUGUGGGGACUGCUGCAGAACAACUACUACAGAAGAGAAGCAAGCCCACCGCCUCCAGGCCCUGGCCCAAGUAGGAAUUUUAAAGAUAUUUCACUUUAUCUUCACACAAAUCACAAUGAGACUGUUAUCAUUAUUUCCCUCUUCAUCAAAGGAAACUGUUGUCCAAGAUCACUCACCCAGGGAGGGCAGGGUCUGCUGUACCUGGCCUGACAGUUCCAAACCUGUGCCAUCUCCUGUAGGGCUCUCUCCACUCUUCUGAAAGAGAAGAUUCUCUGUGGCGUCAUCCGUGUCUACUGUCACUGUCCUUGUUAGGAUGUCCAGACACAGGUCUUUGUUUCAACCAUGAGGUAAACAGCAGUCUUUCGCCAGGCCCUUCCACCAUACCAUUUCUGCCUUGGAGUACACCAACCAUGGACUGCACCCUCUGAAAACUGAGCCAAAUUCUGCCCCAGCAACAAGCCUCUCCUCCACACCUUAUAGCUUGACUUAACCUAAGAAUGGAAGAGACAAAGUUCCUGAUGACAACAUGACCAUGUUAGUUCUCAAUAUAUUCAGAGGGUUCAUAUCCCGAGAGUUGGCACGGAGCCCACUUUCCUUACUCCAGCACACCUCAGGUUUCCCCAUCAGGGAAGCUCCACGUGUACCUUGGGUAAUAUGGAACUAGCCCUGCUCCACACUUGGGCUGCUUUAUAGAACAAGCUGCAUGCACUUGAUGGAAGAAUGAACUAUAUGCUCUCAGCCAGCACCUGCUCACCAGAAAAUCCAUGCUCAGGGAAUGCACUGACUUGAAUCACCCCAAAGUAGUUCUAUCUCAGGAAGCCACAAAUCCACUAUAAUGCAUCCAAUAAAAUGUACUUGUUCUGUCUUAAAAGAGGCUGGGUACCACAGAAAGUAACUUUCUGUGAAAGUUAGAAAGCUAGAGAACCAUCUCUAGCUUCAGGAUGACUGCUUCCUGAUUUUUCUCAAAUUAGCCAUAUUCUCAUUCAGAGUUUCUUAAUUAGAAAGAACAAGAGUAGGAAAGGCAGCCAGAGAUUCAGCUCAGUGGUUCCACCACCUGCUUUGCAAGGGCAAGGUCCCAAGUUCGAUCCCUGAUACCAAAAAAAACAAAAGAGUAAGGAGAGGCAAUGACUUAGAGACUAACAGCAAAGUUUUUUGAAAUAUCAACCUAACAGUCUUUCAGAAUAAAAGGAACUCAGUCUUGCAGAGAAUUUGGUCUAUAAUUUUCUUUUACUUUAUAAUCAAAUCAUGCUAAUGUAAACCAAAAAAACAACUUGAACUAAACAUGUAUUUCACUCAUGAGCAAUUACAAAGCAGGCAUUUCAAAUCAGUGUUAAUCUAAUGUUUUUAAAACAAUUAUUGUAUUUCAAGGUCCAAUAUCUGUCAAGUAAAUCACUGAUUUCUGAUGUAAAAGUCUAAUUAGUUUACAGCCAUUUCACAUCUGCCUUAAAGUUUUUUUUCAUGAUUUCAUUCUAAAUACACAGAAUAAAAGAUGGUGUCAGGGCC
Molecule: long non-coding RNA, 1780 nt
Organism: Fukomys damarensis (Damara mole-rat)
Lineage: Eukaryota; Metazoa; Chordata; Mammalia; Rodentia; Bathyergidae
Exons: 3
Source: RefSeq, a predicted model, not a curated record